UGGGGAAUUUUGGACAAUGGAGGAAACUCUGAUCCAGCAAUACCGCGUGAGUGAAGAAGGCCUUCGGGUUGUAAAGCUCUUUUGUUGAAGAAAAAUACUCGGCAACGAGGAUGAUGGUAUUCAAAGAAAAAGACACCGGCUAACUCCGUGCCAGCAGCCGCGGUAAUACGGAGGGUGCAAGCGUUAAUCGGAAUAACUGGGCGUAAAGGGCAUGCAGGCGGUUUAUCAAGUAGGAUGUGAAAGCCCCGGGCUCAACUUGGGAAUUGCAUUCUAAACUGAUAGACUAGAGUAUUGCAGGGGGAGACGGAAUUCCAGGUGUAGCGGUGGAAUGCGUAGAUAUCUGGAAGAACACCAAAGGCGAAGGCAGUCUCCUGGGCAAAUACUGACGCUCAUAUGCGAAAGCGUGGGUAGCAAACAGGAUUAGAUACCCUGGUAGU
This 437-nucleotide ribosomal RNA is filed under the name uncultured Succinivibrio sp. RNAcentral describes it as "bacterial SSU rRNA". It matches the Rfam family "Bacterial small subunit ribosomal RNA", at positions 355 to 794 of the family's 1533-position model. The record is from RNAcentral. Lineage: Bacteria; Pseudomonadati; Pseudomonadota; Gammaproteobacteria; Aeromonadales; Succinivibrionaceae.